GGUAUGAAUGGCUAAACGAGAAAUUAACUUUUUUUGUUAUAAAAAUUGAAUUUAAUUUUUUAGUGAAAAAGCUAAAAUUUUUCAGAAAGACGAGAAGACCCUAUAGAGUUUUAUGUUAAAAAAUAUGUUUUCUUAUUAGAUUUUUUUAGGCUAUGUAAUUUUAAACAUUUUGUUGGGGCGACAUUAAGAUAUAAAAAACUCUUUAUUUUUAAAAUUUUUAUAAAAAUAUAAUUUGAUCCUUUAAAAAAGAUCAAAAGAAAAAAUUACCUUAGGGAUAACAGCGUAAUCUUUUUUGAGAGUUCUAAUCGACAAAAAGGUUUGCGACCU
RNAcentral lists this ribosomal RNA (327 nucleotides) under Conopea granulata. RNAcentral describes it as "partial large subunit ribosomal RNA". Lineage: Eukaryota; Metazoa; Arthropoda; Thecostraca; Balanomorpha; Balanidae. The record is from RNAcentral.